RNAcentral lists this ribosomal RNA (301 nucleotides) under uncultured bacterium. Its description in RNAcentral is "bacterial SSU rRNA". It matches the Rfam family "Bacterial small subunit ribosomal RNA", at positions 28 to 334 of the family's 1533-position model. The record is from RNAcentral.
GAUGAACGCUGGCGGCGUGCCUAAUACAUGCAAGUCGAACGCUUCACUUCGGUGAAGAGUGGCGAACGGGUGAGUAAUACAUAAGUAACCUGGCAUCUACAGGGGGAUAACUGAUGGAAACGUCAGCUAAGACCGCAUAGGUGUAGAGAUCGCAUGAACUCUAUAUGAAAAGUGCUACGGGACUGGUAGAUGAUGGACUUAUGGCGCAUUAGCUGUUGGUAGGGUAACGGCCUACCAAGGCGACGAUGCGUAGCCGACCUGAGAGGGUGACCGGCCACACUGGGACUGAGACACGGCCCAG